RNAcentral lists this ribosomal RNA (253 nucleotides) under uncultured bacterium. RNAcentral describes it as "partial 16S ribosomal RNA". It matches the Rfam family "Bacterial small subunit ribosomal RNA", at positions 524 to 776 of the family's 1533-position model. The record is from RNAcentral.
UACGUAGGGUGCGAGCGUUGCCCGGAUUUAUUGGGCGUAAAGGGCGCGCAGGCGGCUACGCACGUCCGUUGUGAAAUCGCUCGGCUCAACUGGGCGGGGUCAGCGGAUACGGCGUAGCUGGAGCAAGCUAGGGGGCAAUGGAAUUCCCGGUGUAGUGGUGGAAUGCGUAGAUAUCGGGAGGAACACCAGUGGCGAAGGCGGUUGCCUGGAGCUUUGCUGACGCUGAGGAACGAAAGCGUGGGGAGCGAACAGG